RNAcentral lists this ribosomal RNA (647 nucleotides) under uncultured bacterium. RNAcentral describes it as "bacterial SSU rRNA". It matches the Rfam family "Bacterial small subunit ribosomal RNA", at positions 1 to 633 of the family's 1533-position model. The record is from RNAcentral.
AGGGGUUUGAUCAUGGCUCAGAUUGAACGCUGGCGGCAGGCCUAACACAUGCAAGUCGAGCGGAAACGACAACAUUGACCCUUCGGGUGAUUUGUUGGGCGUCGAGCGGCGGACGGGUGAGUAAUGCCUGGGAAAUUGCCCUGAUGUGGGGGAUAACCAUUGGAAACGAUGGCUAAUACCGCAUAAUGUCUACGGACCAAAGAGGGGGACCUUCGGGCCUCUCGCUUCAGGAUAUGCCCAGGUGGGAUUAGCUAGUUGGUGAGGUAAUGGCUCACCAAGGCGACGAUCCCUAGCUGGUCUGAGAGGAUGAUCAGCCACACUGGAACUGAGACACGGUCCAGACUCCUACGGGAGGCAGCAGUGGGGAAUAUUGCACAAUGGGCGCAAGCCUGAUGCAGCCAUGCCGCGUGUAUGAAGAAGGCCUUCGGGUUGUAAAGUACUUUCAGUCGUGAGGAAGGCGUUGGAGUUAAUAGCUUCAUCGUUUGACGUUAGCGACAGAAGAAGCACCGGCUAACUCCGUGCCAGCACCCGCGGUAAUACGGAGGGUGCGAGCGUUAAUCGGAAUUACUGGGCCUAAAGCGCAUGCAGGUGGUUUGUUAAGUCAGAUGUGAAAGCCCGGGGCUCAACCUCGGAACCGCAUUUGAAAC